UUAAAUUACAGCGCCAGGACAAACAAAGCUAAAACCAUUAGCAAUCACACACAGUUUGUUGACGAGGAUAGGAUUUAUCGAAAGACUCGGCGGAUGAUCCUAUGGCAUGCUUACUGUCAGAAAUAGCACACAAAAACUAGCAGAAAUGCUAAAACAAAAGUGC
Molecule: non-coding RNA, 163 nt
Filed under: pig gut metagenome
Description: glmS glucosamine-6-phosphate activated ribozyme
Rfam family: glmS glucosamine-6-phosphate activated ribozyme aptamer
About the family: This entry contains a glucosamine-6-phosphate activated ribozyme that is found in the mRNA for GlmS. GlmS is an enzyme that uses fructose-6-phosphate and glutamine to generate glucosamine-6-phosphate.
Source: RNAcentral